The sequence is a ribosomal RNA, 459 nucleotides long. It matches the Rfam family "Bacterial large subunit ribosomal RNA", at positions 1 to 420 of the family's 2925-position model.
AAUCAAGUGCCUUAAGGGUGUUCGGUGGAUGCCUUGGCGCUGAGAGGCGAUGAAGGACGUGCUACGCUGCGAUAAGCCGUGGGGAGCUGCGAAGAAGCUUUGAUCCGCGGAUUUCCGAAUGGGGAAACCCACCUUCGAUAGCCGGAACUCCAAGACCUUGGUUUUGGGGUUCGAUUGGGAGACCGAGAGAAUUCAAGGCCGUGAGGUUUUGGAUUUCCGGUUAUCAAGAGAAGGUAUGAGACUUCUGAAUACAUAGGAGGUUUCAAGCGAACCCAGGGAACUGAAACAUCUAAGUACCUGGAGGAAAGGACAUCAACCGAGACUCCGCUAGUAGUGGCGAGCGAACGCGGACCAGGCCAGUCAUGAAUGCAAGCCAACCAGAACCUGUCAGGAAAGCAGGGCCUCAGAGGGUGAUAGCCCCGUAUGGGUAAUGCAAGCAUUCAUGCUCGAGUACGGCGG